Molecule: ribosomal RNA, 483 nt
Filed under: uncultured bacterium
Lineage: Bacteria
Description: partial 16S ribosomal RNA
Rfam family: Bacterial small subunit ribosomal RNA
Source: RNAcentral
AUUGAACGCUGGCGGCAUGCUUUACACAUGCAAGUCGAACGGCAGCGCGGGCUUCGGCCUGGCGGCGAGUGGCGAACGGGUGAGUAAUGCAUCGGAACGUGCCCAGUAGUGGGGGAUAGCCCGGCGAAAGCCGGAUUAAUACCGCAUACGACCUGAGGGUGAAAGCGGGGGACCGAAAGGCCUCGCGCUAUUGGAGCGGCCGAUGUCGGGUUAGCUAGUUGGUGGGGUAAAGGCUUACCAAGGCGACGAUCCGUAGCUGGUCUGAGAGGACGACCAGCCACACUGGGACUGAGACACGGCCCAGACUCCUACGGGAGGCAGCAGUGGGGAAUUUUGGACAAUGGGGGCAACCCUGAUCCAGCCAUGCCGCGUGCGGGAAGAAGGCCUUCGGGUUGUAAACCGCUUUUGUUCGGGAAGAAAUCCUCUGGGCUAAUACCCCGGGGGGAUGACGGUACCGGAAGAAUAAGCACCGGCUAACUACGU